This 85-nucleotide transfer RNA is filed under the name Felis catus (domestic cat). It matches the Rfam family "tRNA". From Rfam's summary of the family: Transfer RNA (tRNA) molecules are approximately 80 nucleotides in length. Their secondary structure includes four short double-helical elements and three loops (D, anti-codon, and T loops). Further hydrogen bonds mediate the characteristic L-shaped molecular structure. tRNAs have two regions of fundamental functional importance: the anti-codon, which is responsible for specific mRNA codon recognition, and the 3' end, to which the tRNAs corresponding amino acid is attached (by aminoacyl-tRNA synthetases). tRNAs cope with the degeneracy of the genetic code in two manners: having more than one tRNA (with a specific anti-codon) for a particular amino acid; and 'wobble' base-pairing, i.e. permitting non-standard base-pairing at the 3rd anti-codon position. Lineage: Eukaryota; Metazoa; Chordata; Mammalia; Carnivora; Felidae. The record is from Rfam by way of RNAcentral.
GCCUGGAUGGCUCAGUCGGUUGAGUGUCUGACUUUGGCUCAGGUCAUGAUCUCUCAGUUUGUGGGUUCAAGCCCCAUAUCGGGCU